This 2696-nucleotide long non-coding RNA is filed under the name Betta splendens (Siamese fighting fish). RNAcentral describes it as "lncRNA (ENSBSLG00000021907.1)". The record is from RNAcentral. Lineage: Eukaryota; Metazoa; Chordata; Actinopteri; Anabantiformes; Osphronemidae.
AGAGUACACAGCGCGCGUGAUUUGCACAGGGAGGGAGAAACUGUAGCGCCUCGCAGCAGGCCGCGUGAUGGAGCGACACAUAAAUUCCUCCCCGAGAGUCACUUCAGAGACUCGGCGUGAUUUACAUGGGAUAGAAAAAGAAGCUCGGAGGAAACUCCACGUUUACGCGGCGCACUUUGGACUCGGUUGGAAUCAAAUUGAUGCUCCGCGUUCCAGAAAGGGAAGAAAGGCAGCGCUUUGAACAUCUGGCUGCAGAUGAGCGGUUUAGGGUCGCACAUGGAGAGAAAAUAAAAGAAGCAAUUCCUCGCGAGCGCGUCUGUCGCACUACACCUAAACGCCGCUGACAUUCAUGGAAGGUUGAGAUCUCCACAAGAAACUUUCCUCCGACCAUCCUUUAACUCCGGCUACAACAACAACGGACUCCCUCUCACCCAGCGGGUCACGCCGUCUCCCACAGAUGGAGGAGAAACGCUGAGACGAGCUGUAACAGCCGGGGGCCGCGAGCUUCACGUGGAGCGUUACCGAAAGCGGCAUCAUUACAGUCGCCCCCCCGCCGUUCCGCAGACACACCCUGCGUCUCGCGUACCUGCUGAUGAACAAAGUUGCGAGGCUGAAUCAUCGUUUAAUGCAGGGCGGGAAGCGACGGCACCUUCACCGCAGCGCUGCACACAAGUUGGUGGAGUCUACGUUGAGGGGCAAGGGCACGAGGAUCCACUGAAAUACAACAGACCUGAGCAGCAUCAAAGCGCCGCAUCUCCAAACACACUGAAAGGACACUUGAAGGGUCCAUUUGAAGUGACGCGUGUUUGAUGUGACUCCAGUUGGUUAGAAAUUAGCAAAAUGACCCAUUCUAAAUAUUUCCCAUGUUAUAUUUUAUUCAGAGCUCCAUGAGGAUCCCGCAACUCCAAAGUGAUAUUAGUAAAGGGACCUUGAUUCUCUGCCGUCUCUUGGUCCCACAUUGAAGAGACUUUCAUGUGAACAUCAUUAUUUAUUCAUGUGCCUGCAAGACUGGGGUUUUGGCUUUAAUACAUUUUUAGAUUGAGACGUCUUGGCCAGGAAGACCUGGAGUGAUUAAUGAUUGAGGAGAGGCGAGAGCAUCAGCAGCGUCCACUGCAGGAAAAAGAAGUUCAAAAUGUGAUCCACAGGAAGAGGAAACGACUGGUGUAGAAUCUAAAUUAUCCCGAUAUUGUUGACAGACAGUAUAAUGAAGGUCGGGGUGCGAUCAGCGGCAUCUCUCAAGCCACUGUCUGGAGUGGAGCGUAUCCGGCAAUGUAGCAGGAUCAAAUGCAGUUACGCACGGCUUCGAGCUCAUCCCGUCUGUGUGAUGGCUGCUUUAGUCCGGCCUCAAAGGCUCACAAGCCGCCGAGCCGCCUUAAACGCGGGGAGAGAGUCGGGCGUCAGAGGCGAGGCCAAGGGGAACAAAAGGUAUUAACAUGCACACGAACCGCGAGGAGCGGGAGCCUACGCAGAUUAUUCUGAGAGAACAAACACUACAGGCUCCACGGCCUCUCUUUUUUUGUUGUUUUGCUUUGAGAUCUGGUGUUUUAUGUCCUGCAUUAAAACCACACUCUCACACUCACACACACACACACACACACACACACACACACACACACACACACACACACACACACACACACCUGCCUCGUCACUCGCGCUGCCCCGACACUUUGUAGACAAAAGACAAUACAAGACCUUUUGAAGGUUGUCGAAACAGGUGAGAGCUGUCGGGGCCUCGAUCGUGCGGUGGUCUUGUUUUGGUGUGCGAACGACGUCUGGCCUUUUAUCUCCGGUGAUGUGAUCCCUUCAUCCUGCUCAGCCCCCAUGCCGCCAAACGCUCCACCUGCGCUUUGUUGUCCUCGCCUCCGUCCGUCUGUCCGCGUCAGCCGAGCCGCUGUCGGAGGAAGAAUUUGAGAUUUCACGACAUUUACUGUAGCAGAACACCUGAGGAGGCAAAUCGGCGCAAACUGCCAAGACCUCCGGCCGUCGAGCAACAAGCGGAGACUCGCAGACGUCUCGCUGUUUUUUUUAUUGUCACACAUCUCGUUGUUUUGAAAGUUCGGAAGUGUCAGAGAGAUAGAGUUGCACUAAUGUACAUGUCCAAGCUGAAGAUUAUCUGUUCUCAUCUGAGACAAGAGCCGAUACUCUUUCAGCGCCGGUGUCAGACAUCUGUUGAAACUUGACUUUGCGCCCGUCAGUCAGAAACGCACUUCAACUCCUGAGCGGAGGCUGAGCUUCGCAUGGCUGCAGUGCAGGAUUCCUCAGCCCCCCCCACCCCCUCCCCUCUUUCUCCACACGUAGCUUUUGGUCCCGUUCUCAGGACCUCGAGGUUUAAAGAGUCAUCAAGUUGUCAUGUUAGGUCUGGUCUUGAACUCUUUUGUCUUGGCCUGACUUUCUUUAAAUGUUUUGAUAGCUGUGAUCAUCCCAUUGUUCCAGUCAUGCUGCUGAUGCUGGUUUCAGCGUAAUGCAAGACGGAAUUUACCUCAGUGGUUGUGCAUUUGCAAAAAGUUCCCCAAACCUAGAAAAUUAGGUUAUGUGACAAUCUUACGUGAGAAAGCUGAAAAACUUCAUCAUGUCGUUCAUAAAAACAGUACAGUAUUAUUACUACCACCUACAGUACUAUGCCUAUAUCUUUUAAGCUCUUCUUAUCUUAACUGGGUAAUAAAAAAGAAUUGAUAUUUAAAACUGUUUUGUUU